GAACUGGAAAAAUCUGAAAGGAAGGUCAUCCAUGGCGGAACCAAGCUUGGGAUCAUUAUGUACGAGUCCCUUUGUGUUUCCCAUAUCUCAAUGAUUGGGUCUUAUUUCUCAAAUCAAAGUGCCAUUGGUUGCUGGCAGUUACAGUUUGUGCGAUGAAAAAAUGUGGUUCUCAAAGUUUCAACGCAAAUAAUGGUUGUUCAAGAUUGCUCGAUAUAGGUCACUGUCAAAACAUAUCACUGGAGUGAGGCGAUAGUGAUUGUUGAUGGUGGUUAUCUACAGAAGAUGAUGGUUGGAGUGAAAUUGCUAUAGAGGAUUGUGAAUGUUGGCCUGGAAGUGGAGUUUGUGGGAAAAUUUGAUGAAUGGAGAAAAUUGGAGAACGUCGAGUCCCAUUAUCAAAUUCACAUACUUCAAUAGUGAACACUGUUGACUUUGUUAUAAUUCAAUUAUUUAAGAUCGACGUUGUGAUAUCGGUGACUUAAGCACCAAGUUGAAUAUCAAAUCCAACUCAAUUCAAUAUCUAUGUAAGUAUGUAUAAUUAUAUAAUAAUCCAAACUUUUAUGAAUAAUAUAGGAAGCUACUACUUUUAUAAA
Cucumis sativus (cucumber) is the source of this 590-nucleotide long non-coding RNA. RefSeq lists it as uncharacterized. NCBI's taxonomy places the organism in Eukaryota, Viridiplantae, Streptophyta, Magnoliopsida, Cucurbitales, Cucurbitaceae. The record is from RefSeq and is a predicted model, not a curated record. The transcript is spliced from 2 exons.